AUUGAACGCUGGCGGCGUGCUUAACACAUGCAAGUCGAUCGGUAACAGGUGUAGCAAUACAUGCUGACGAGAGGCGGACGGGUGAGUAAUGCUUGGGAAUCUGCCUAUUAGUGGGGGACAACCCGGGGAAACUCGGGCUAAUACCGCAUACGCUCUACGGAGGAAAGCCGGGGACCGCAAGGCCUGGCGCUAAUAGAUGAGCCCAAGUCGGAUUAGCUAGUUGGUAGGGUAACGGCCUACCAAGGCGACAAUCCGUAGCUGGUCUGAGAGGACGACCAGCCACACCGGAACUGAGACACGGUCCGGACUCCUACGGGAGGCAGCAGUGGGGAAUAUUGGACAAUGGGGGCAACCCUGAUCCAGCGACGCCGCGUGGGUGAAG
This 382-nucleotide ribosomal RNA is filed under the name uncultured bacterium. RNAcentral's name for it is "bacterial SSU rRNA". It matches the Rfam family "Bacterial small subunit ribosomal RNA", at positions 29 to 410 of the family's 1533-position model. The record is from RNAcentral.